GCGGGUAUAGUUCAGAGGUAGAGCGUGUGCUUAGUAUGCACGAGGUCCUGGGUUCAGUCCCCAGUACCUCCA
Molecule: transfer RNA, 72 nt
Filed under: Camelus bactrianus (Bactrian camel)
Lineage: Eukaryota; Metazoa; Chordata; Mammalia; Artiodactyla; Camelidae
Also listed under: 2 other names
Rfam family: tRNA
About the family: Transfer RNA (tRNA) molecules are approximately 80 nucleotides in length. Their secondary structure includes four short double-helical elements and three loops (D, anti-codon, and T loops).
Source: Rfam by way of RNAcentral